Molecule: long non-coding RNA, 5285 nt
Organism: Gallus gallus (chicken)
Lineage: Eukaryota; Metazoa; Chordata; Aves; Galliformes; Phasianidae
Exons: 5
Source: RefSeq, a predicted model, not a curated record
UACUUUCUUUGAUUAGUAAUUGAAACAACUGCUUCAAGCACUGUAGCAAGUUUACACACAUCUUUGUCAUCCACAGAAUCGAUAAAUAGGUUUGAGUUAUUUUUGUUUGUUUUUGUUAACUGUGUCCAAUAAUUGAGAAGUGCUAAUAUAUGUCCUAAAGAAGAAACAAGGCAGUAAGUUAUCAGAAACCUAACAUGCAAAUAAUUUUAAUCAGAAAUGUCAAUUCCUGGCAAGUGAUACCCAUGUGCAAGAUAUUUGUUCCACAUAAUAAACUGAUCUGAGGCAACACAGGGUGAAGUUUCUCCCUCACACAUUAGCACCUAGUUCUUAGAUCCUUAUCCCGUGUAUGAAUUUACAAAUGGUCCCGUAUGACUGUGCAGAGACUUCCUGAUAUAAACAUGACAGUAUCUGAAUGCAGCUGAAUAGCAAAGAUAUCUUCCUUCUGCUACCCUGCCUGAGAGAGUGGAGAGUGCAAACUAAUGAGAAGAAAGAGAUCAUGAAAAAUAAAAAUGUAAAUGAUUUGUAGAAAAAUAAGAGACUGUUCCAUAAAAUAUGAAGAUACUGUAGUUAUAAGGCAUUCAAUUUUAAUAUAUAUAUAUUUUUUAAUGUAAAGCAACCUUUGCAUUUUGAAAUCAUACCCUGAUUUUAUUGUAUGGGGGAAAGAAGACUUGCCAUCAACAAUCUAAUCUGUAAACAAUAAGGAAAAUAACUUCCAGAGUUAUCAAGAUAGGGAUAUGGAUGUGUGACUGUGUAUCGGGCAUUAAGAAUUGAAAUCUUUCAAUAUCUAGUUAAUAUUUGCUAAGUUUGGAUCAGUCUGUGCAAGGAGAACCUCACUGUCAUUCUAUUUACCUUAUUAUGGUUUAAGAAUUUUAAUUAUAAACAGCUAUCUGACUGUUACCUGACAUAUAAUAUUACUUCUUUAACUGCAAGUGAGGACAAAAGUAAUAAAAUUUAACUGCAAUACAGAAGAUCUUUUACAAAACUUCUGAAACUUACUUCUUGGCUGUUUUUCUUUUCUCUUAAAGAAACGGUCUCAUCUUCCAGACGUUUGAUCUCACUUUUAAGACGUCCAUGUUCUCUUUCAGCAAGGGCUUUAAAGUGUUGUUCAGUUUCAAUUUCAUUCUCUCUGGCUUUGUAAAGAGACUAGAGAAUAACAGAGUUUAGCAUUUUACAACAGACAACAGGCCCUCAUCACCAAUGAACCAAAAGAGAUGACGUGAUUUUGUCAUGUAAAUACAUUCAUCUGUAAAUAUUAUAUAUAUAUUUAUACGUGCGUUAUAUCAGAUAACCCCAGAUCAACCAUGUAUAGCCCCAGGAGCCUGAUUCAAAAAUAUUUCACCCAACUUUCAGGAUAUUGAUCUUCCAAAGUCUUAAUCUUAGUCUCUUAGAAUAAGUCUUAAUCUCACAGCAGCUUUAUGUAAGAUUCAGGAGGUAUAGGGAAUGAAAUGCUUUUAUUGUUCUGUGCUGAGAGAGACCACCAGGCUGGCCUACGGCAGUAUACUGUCUAAUCUUUCUGACAAAGUGAUUUGACAGGAUUUUUCUCAUACAUAAUACAAAUCUGUCACUUCCUGGAGGCUUCUCUUGCACGGUAUGUCCUGCCUCUUCUAAACUAAGGUUUAAUCUAAACUGUGUCCUUUUUGGCUUUUUUUCCAGGUACCAUCAUUUGAUCCAGGACGGUCUUUUUAUGGACCAUCAAAUGCCAUCACUGGGGGCCACAGUUAAAGUUGUGUUUCUUGUGAAAGUCCCAAAUGAAAGGCCAGAGGAACUCCUGCAAAGCUGCCACGCAGGCAGAGAUGCCAACCACAGACGGGCGCUCUGUCCACAGCUCUGCCUGAGGAUCAGCGACACACCCGUCGGGUGUAUCAGUUUACCUGGGUGAAGCUGAACUCCUGUCUCACGUUUUUCAAGUGAGAUGUCAUCGCUCCCAUUCGCUCUUCAAAGUCAGUCAGCUGAUUUUGCAGAAACCAAGUGAAAGGUUUAAACAUUUUUAACAAGCAGCAAAAGCGCCAGACCCAUUAAGUACUGCUUCUGCUCGAGGUAACCAGGAUUGCCCCAGACUCAGACGGCGGGCCGGCAUCCAGCACCGGCCAGCACCCAAACGUAUCCCAGGCGCUCCUGAGCUCCGCGGGCCGACCUGACAGAGCCUCCCGCGCACCCACCGCCGUGUGUGAACCUCAGCUCUGCCCCACAGCCACAGCCCCACAGCCGCAGCCCCGCGCUCACGUCUUCCUCCAGCGCCCUGUUCUCCGCGUUGGCCAUGGGCACGGCGUAGCCAUCGUCCCACUGGAGCUCGGCCAGCACCGAAGCGGUGGAGCGGCUGGCGGUGCUCUGCAUGGCCGCAGGUACGAGGGGAGGGCGGCCGAGUGCCUUAGCAACCGCGUGCCCCGGUAACCAAACGGGAAGUGCGGAGCCGGGAGCCGCCUCCCGCCCCGCCCGCCCGCCUCGCGGGAAGAGCGGCUGUGCGCGCGGCGCUCUUCGCGCCUCAGGGCUUGCGUUUCGCAGCGGACCGGCUUCUGUGUUUGUCUGAGAAGAAAGAAGUUUGUCUUCUGUGUGACGAGACCUCAAAAAUACAGCAGAUGGAUGUACCAAGACUGGUAACACAAUGGAAGAAACAAAAAUAGGAAGAGACUGAGGAAACAGCAGUGAAUGAAAAAACUUCACUUCUACAGAUCAGGCCUGUCCAGCAACGUUCAUUUCUACCUUCAGUCUGCUCAAAACAGCCACACAAAUGAAUAUUCCAUAGCUGAAAAUCUCCAUAUCAGUUAAAGGAAACAGAAAAGGCCAGAGCUUCACGGCAGCACGCUCAUAGGUGUUCCUGUGCUACAAAUAAAUUGUGUCCAUCUCCUGUUCUUUCUCGUGAAAUGCAGAUACUCUCAUCUCUUUACUCUUUUUUUGCUUUGGAGAUGCGUUAAUUGAAGAACACUUGCAGUCAAAAAAGAAAAAUGAGGCACAAAAUUCAAGAUAAAGUUAAUUGUACUUAGUAUUCUCAAAGGCUGUAUGCAGAAGAAGUGGAAAUGACAAGCAGAUCCUUUCCAUAUAUAUGUUUAGUAUCACUUUUUUUUAUAAACAGAGUAAAGGUAAAGCAAGGGCAAUGCCAUGGAAGGCCAGUGGCACUACAGUUGCUGGAAGAACUGAGCCCUGACCUCAGCCACAACUAUUCUUAGCACUGCUGUAGUCUCAAGUAAUUGCUAUUUCUUCAGUUCCCCACUUUCAUCUAUGAGUCCCUCAGUGCUUGAAUAUUUCUUCUUCUGACUUAAGAAAUUUUAUUAGAUGUAGGAUUUUCUUUUCUUCCUCAUUUUGGUAGUAUUGAGGGAGCUGGAACAGUUAUUACGUGUUUAUUUCUUAUCAGUUCUGUUUGUUUUUGGUGUUGUUGUUGUUGUUUUUUGUGGGAAGAAAUUGGCCUUCUUCCCACCAGCAUACACAGAGCCAGAAAAUGCCCCACAGUUGUCAUGGCAACAGCUUUUGAUGGAGAAUGGCACAAGGAAGUGUGGCAGGACCAUCCUCCAGAGAACCAAAGUCUUUUGUUGUUCAUCGUAUAAACGUGUGUGGUCCCUUUUCUUCAAAUGGUAUCAAUUUAUGCAUUAGGGAUGAUAAGUUAUACACAGUGCAACAUAAUGAGAUGGAGCUCAUGCUUCAGAUAAAAACAUUCUAAUAUUUUCUCAGGCAUAUACUUAUGGGCCCAAAGUGAUCUUCUCUUCAGUGUAUUUGUUCUGUUGUGUCCAUAUCCAUAGAAAAUAUUGGCAUAAAUCACGUUUUUAGUAUGUUGGGGCAGAAAGUGAGCUUGGCUUUCUUUAGUACAUAGAACUUUUAGCAGUUGGAACUUUCUGAUUAAUAUUUUUGAUGCUAUUCAAUACUGAAGAAGAAGGACUUCUUUGGGUCUAAGCUACCAACUGGGUUUCUAUGGUAGUAGUCUUCAAUGGGAGAUUUUGUUUCUCACUCUGUACAAACUUACUGAAAACAGUCAAACAGAUCCUCUGUAUCUCAUCUGAACCAACAGAACUAUGUUAAAUUGUAUCUGCUGAGGACAGUGGUCUGCAUGAAUUCAGUGUGGAAACCAUCACUGCUGGAGUGCUAGUAAUGAUCAGAAUCUAGUACAUCCAUUCUAUCACAAGGGCAGAACCCAAGCAAUUUUUUUAUGUAGUACUGUUGGAAUUUCUACUGCUUCAAUAGGCAAAAGUUAGGAUAUCUUACAUCUCUGUAAAACAGUCGGAAUGCUCAAAGCCUAUUUCCAUGGAUGCAUAAAACACGUUACAUUUCCCAUGAAACUAUCGAUAAUUUAAUAAUGUUUUUAUAGGGAGAUCAGGUGGUCUUGUUGCUGCACUCUUUGUUAUGAAAUGUUGCAGUCUUCAUGCAAUAGUUAGUUCAUAUUUCUAAAGUGCGUAUUUGCUGUCAUGUUUGCUAUAUGUACAGUAAAAUAUUAUAUAGUAUAAUAUUUUUUAAUUAUGAUCCUGUAGUUUUCUUUAAAAAUACACCAAUUUUUUAGAUACUGUAAGGCUAUAUUCAUAGUUGCAGUAAUCUGUUUAUUUUUUAAGAUUUAUUGGUAUUUAUUUAUAUUUAUAGGCAGCAAUACCUUGCACUUACAGCUAAUUUAAGGUAUUUUUUUCCCUGUUUUAUUUUCUUGUCUUCACUUGGCUAAAAAACAAAAACCAGCAGAAGAAAAAUCCUAACGUUUGCUUGUCAAAACAACUUCCAAACUAUUACAAGCUGUGAUAUGCCUAGAUUUUGGAGCUAUUUUAAUACUUAUUUCUAUUUCAUGUAGCCAACUGUGUUACUGGGGAGUAAGGUACACCUACAGAUACAAAAGACUGCCUAUGAUUUUAGACACCUUGAAGUACAUUUAACUAUGUUAAGUAUAUAUGAAGUAUCAGUCAUAUGCGUAAGAUUCUGAGCCUAGGAGUACAGAUGAAAGUAUAUACAAUCCCUUUAGAAAGCAGAAUAUGUGAAUUUGAAGUUGCAACAUAGACACUUGCAUGAAAUGAUCUCUCCUGACAUGUCAGCUGAAAUAUCAGAAAUCCUAUUUCUAAUCCCUUCCAUGUAAUAUGGCAUGGGGGACAGAGAUGCAUAUCAGUCAUAAAGAGCAACAGCACAGCCUUUCAGACAGGCUCAGCAGGCUGCCUGUAAUUCAGUCCCCCUGCUCCAGCCUCUCCACCCACUGGUUGAGUCUUGUUGCCCUUCUAACAGCUCGUGCACUCCUGACACAAUGGAGGGAGGGCAGGAGCAGUGUGGUGAAAAAUCAGGCGCUGCAGACAAACACUUGGCAGCCUGUCCUUCCCCAGUGUCACAGU